RNAcentral lists this ribosomal RNA (253 nucleotides) under uncultured bacterium. RNAcentral's name for it is "partial 16S ribosomal RNA". It matches the Rfam family "Bacterial small subunit ribosomal RNA", at positions 524 to 776 of the family's 1533-position model. The record is from RNAcentral.
UACGUAGGGUGCGAGCGUUGUCCGGAAUUACUGGGCGUAAAGAGCUCGUAGGUGGUUUGUCGCGUUGUUCGUGAAAACCUGAGGCUUAACCUUGGGCGUGCGGGCGAUACGGGCAGACUGGAGUACUGCAGGGGAGACUGGAAUUCCUGGUGUAGCGGUGAAAUGCGCAGAUAUCAGGAGGAACACCGGUGGCGAAGGCGCUGCUCUGGGCCGGUACUGACGCUGAGGAGCGAAAGCGUGGGUAGCAAACAGG